GUACACGCUGUGACUAGCAUAUCAAUAAGCGGAGGAAAAGAAACUAACAAGGAUUCCCCUAGUAACGGCGAGUGAAGCGGGAAGAGCUCAAAUUUGAAAUCUUAAAGGGUUUCCCUUUACGAAUUGUAGUUUAAAGAAGUGUUUUCUGUUGAGGUUCUGGUAAAAGUUCUUUGGAAUAGGACAUCAUAGAGGGUGAGAAUCCCGUAUUUGACCUUUACUUUCAACUUUGUGAUACACUUUCAAAGAGUCGGAUUGUUUGGGAAUGCAGUCCAAAAUGGGUGGUAAAUUUCAUCUAAAGCUAAAUAUUGGCGAGAGACCGAUAGCGAACAAGUACCGUGAGGGAAAGAUGAAAAGAACUUUGAAAAGAGAGUUAAACAGUACGUGAAAUUGUCAAAAGGGAAGCGUUUGACACCAGUGUUGUUUUUCUGAAAAUCAAUUAAAGAACUGUUUAUGCUAAGUUGUUUAGACUUUAUCAGCUAACUGUUUAGUUUUGAGCUUUUCUUUAAUGCACUUUUCAGUUAACAAGUCAACAUCAAUUUCUUUUGCUGUAAAAAAGCUUGAGGAAGGUGGCUUGAGAUUCGUCUUAAGUGUUUAUAGCCUCUUGCCUAUGCAGUCGGAGAGAUUGAGGUCUGCAGCGUAGAUCCUUCGGGGCUAAAUGCAUUUGUGCUAAGUUAUAACAUUUUAUAGACAACUUGUUGACUAUGAUUUGUCUUGUAGCUUACUCGCUUAUGUUAUUUUACCUACGCUUAGGAUGUUGACGCGCGUGUGUGCGUG
Molecule: ribosomal RNA, 774 nt
Filed under: uncultured Neocallimastigales
Lineage: Eukaryota; Fungi; Neocallimastigomycota; Neocallimastigomycetes; Neocallimastigales
Description: partial large subunit ribosomal RNA
Rfam family: Eukaryotic large subunit ribosomal RNA
Source: RNAcentral